This 3026-nucleotide unclassified non-coding RNA is filed under the name Eurytemora carolleeae. RNAcentral's name for it is "zinc finger protein 431". The record is from RNAcentral. Lineage: Eukaryota; Metazoa; Arthropoda; Copepoda; Calanoida; Temoridae.
CUUUGAAUAUCUUUCGAUUAAAAUGUUUAUUUCCUCGGACAGUUUUGAGAAAAUCUCCUCCGAAAACCCGGGGAAAAUCUCCUCCGAAAAUCCGGAUAAAACGGAGAUAAAGAAGCAAAGAUUAGAACUACUGGAAAAGCUUCAGAAUUAUGAAUGUAUGUCUGAAGAGCAACGAAUACUUCAAUAUUUACUGAUUGAUAUACUAAACCUGAAACAUGGAUUGGAAGAUUUUCUUCAUCUUAUUGAAGAAAUCCAUCUGUUUGAACACUAUAACAUAGCAGAUAUAAAAACUUUGCUUGUAAACACUGCCAGACAUCAUAUAGCGUGUACAACCAAAAUGUAUAAACUGGGAUUGAAUUGGUUUAGUUUUGAUCCUGGUUUAGGGAUGAAAUUCAUUCUUCCAGGGCGUGAGGUGGAGGAGAGAGAGGAUGGCGAUGAUGCUUUGAUUGAGUUUGAAGAUAUUAAGGUUGCAGUGGAGGAUAUGGAUGAUCUUCCUGUAAAAGCCGUGCAGCAAAAUCAGUCAGAGUCUUCUAGGGUUAAAGAUGAAAAAGAACAUUUAAAAGAUGGCAAGGAAGAGGAGAAAUUGUUUGAAGAAUGCGAAGAGUGCGACUAUGUUAGUACCAGUAAACUCAACUUGAAACAUCAUGUAGAAUCUGAACACAAUAAGAAGGAAUUUUUAUGUAAAAAGUGUGACUAUGUUGGGACUUCAAAGUGGAAAUUAAAACUUCACAAUAGAAGCAAACAUAAAGAAAGUAAAUAUACCUGUGAUGAUUGUGAUUUCUCCUGCAGUGAUCUAUUUAAUUUUAAAAAGCAUCAAAGAAGAAAACAGUGUCUACAAGAACAAAAUUAUAAAGAUAAAGAUCCCGAUGAUUUACCAGAAGAGUAUCCCUGUUUUAAAUGCGACUUUAUUGCGUUUAAACUGAAUGAAUUGAAAAAGCACAAGCUAAGGGAACAUGAAGCUAAGUACUUUGAAUGUGACCUCUGUGAUUUCGUGGGAGCAGCCAAAAAUACUUUAAAGAAUCACAAGUUGAGUAUUCAUGAAGGAGUUGAGUAUCCAUGUGAUAAAUGUGAGUUUGUGUGCAAUGAUAAAGGAAAUUUAAAACGACACAUGCGAACAAUGCACAGUGGAUCAGAUGGGCCUCGUUUCCAAUGUGACUUGUGCGAAUUUAUUUUUAACGACAGUUCUAACUUGCAACGACACAAGAGAACCAUCCACGACGUGAACUAUCCCUGUGAUAUGUGUGGUAUAAUCUGUAGCACACAGUUCAGUUUGAAGAAACACAUGAAGGAUGAUCAUGGCCUGGAACCGGAUCGAAAAGACGAUAUGGAUACAGUUCUAAACUGUGAUCAAUGUACUUACUCAACGAAGAAGAAACAUCUACUCAAGAGUCACAAAGAAAACAUGCACGACGGAGAACGUUUUCCCUGUGACCUGUGUGAAUAUGUGGCAACACGAAAGAUAUAUUUGAAUACACACAAGCAGAGCAAACACGAGGGUGUUAGGUAUCCCUGUGAUCAAUGUGAAUAUCAGGCGAUGGAGAUUAUAACGCUGAGAAAGCACAAGGAACGAAUGCACAGUGAUAUCCGGUAUUUUUGUGAUCAGUGUGAAUACUCGUCUUCGGCAAUGCAAAAUUUGAAAUUACACGUUGGAAGCAAGCACGAAGAUGUGAAAUAUCCCUGUAACAAGUGUGAUUAUGUCGGGGCCCUAUCGCGACACUUAAAAAGUCACAUUCAGAAAGUUCACGAAAAGUCUAAGAGUUUUAUGUGUGAUCAGUGCGACUAUGUGACGCACAUUAAGGAUUCUUUAAAGAGACACAUUGAAGUAAAACAUGAGGGGGUUAAAUAUCCCUGCAAUCAAUGCGACAAUACAUUUACCACUCAUAGCAGUCUUGCAAGGCAUUUAAAAAGUAAACAUAGCAUUUGAUAAAGGCUUUACUUAAAUCUUUUUUAGAUUUUUAGAUUUCCAAUGAACAUAAAUUAAAAACAUUAAAAAAAAACUUAUUCAUUGUUUAUUAGUUUGAUCUCUGAUGUCGUGACUUUACAUCAUCUAGUGUUUCUUAAAUAACAUAACGUAGAAUAGGCUGUGAAUUUUUCAUUUCAAAUUAUUUUAAUUUACCUCAUUAUAGUACAAACAGUUUAAUCAGUGUUUUUUUAAAGGUUCUUAACAUUUUAAGUAUAAAUAGUAUAUUAAUUAAAGACGCCAAGCACUUCGGAACUUUUAAAGUCAAUGUCAUAUGUUAAUUUCACUUAAUUUAUGUGAAGUAAAAAAUUCAAAAGCUUUACAGUGCAACUAUGUCUUUGUCAAAGACUUUUGCCGAAAAGUGUUAAAAACAGUGUUUUUGUUUGUAACUAAACUUAAAAGUGUCUUUAAAUGGACCCUAACAAGCGCAACAAUCUAAACCGAAAAAUCAAUAACUUAAUUUUACUAGUGACAACAAACCUAAUAAUUUACACAACAGUUAAUCAAAAUUCAUUAAAUACAAGAAUGUAUUAUAUUGUUAUUUUUUGUCUUUUUUCAAAAAGUUUACUCUAAUGUUUACACUAUUUUUUAUCUAGCCUGGGAACCCAGUUUUGUCUGGAAAUUACACUUCCUCGUACUCACCCAGGUUUAACAAACAAAUAUACAUGCAGAAAUUACUGCUUUAUUAAUAUGGACGCCGUCCAAUUACUUUCUUCCUAAAAUUACAGAAUCAAAAUCUAUAAUAAAACAAGACAUUCAUAUAUGUUCCUUAUAGCCGACCAAACGGCUAGACCUAAUGGACUGACAUUUUUUGGGUUGUCGGCGGGUGUUAAAGACUAAAAAAAAUCGAUUUUUUAAAAAAUUAAAUUUUUUCCAUGGGUAAGCUGGGCCCUUCAGCUAGUAUAAAAUAUAAUCAUAAAUUGAAAAUCCGUUAAUGAGAUAUUAUUAUAUACACCAUUCACCUCUAAAUGUUUAAAACCUAUUCAAUUGUAAAAAAAAACCUGAAUUAGCUUAAAUUUGUCACUUGUAUUUAAAUUUACACAUAUUCUUAUUUCUUAAUAUUUCA